CACUAGUGAUUGGUGUUCUUCCCGAUAUCUACACAUUCCACCGUUACACCGGGAAUUCCAGUCUCCCCUACCGCACUCAAGCCCGCCCGUACCCGGCGCGGAUCCACCGUUAAGCGAUGGACUUUCACACCGGACGCGACGAACCGCCUACGAGCCCUUUACGCCCAAUAAUUCCGGAUAACGCUUGCACCCUACGUAUUACCGCGGCUGCUGGCACGUAGUUAGCCGGUGCUUAUUCGAAAGGUACACUCACCCGAAGGCUUGCUCCCGAUCAAAAGCGGUUUACAACCCGAAGGCCGUCAUCCCGCACGCGGCGUCGCUGCAUCAGGCUUGCGCCCAUUGUGCAAUAUUCCCCACUGCUGCCUCCCGUAUGAGUCUGGGCCGUAUCUCAGUCCCAAUGUGGCCGGUCGCCCUCUCAGGCCGGCUACCCGUCGUAAGCUCGGUGGGCCGUUACCCCGCCGACUACUG
RNAcentral lists this ribosomal RNA (468 nucleotides) under uncultured Bifidobacterium sp. RNAcentral describes it as "partial 16S rRNA". The record is from RNAcentral. Lineage: Bacteria; Bacillati; Actinomycetota; Actinomycetes; Bifidobacteriales; Bifidobacteriaceae.